GUAGGUGAACCUGCGGAGGGAUCAUUACAGAGAACAUCGCCCGCGAGGGUGACUCUCCAACCCUAUGUUAAUUAUACCUUUGUUGCUUUGGCGAGCCGCUCCGGCCACCGGCUUCUAGCUGGUGAGUGCUCGCCAGAGGACCCUAAACUCUGUUUAUACAUGUCGUCUGAGUACUAUAUAAUAGUUAAAACUUUCAACAACGGAUCUCUUGGUUCUG
RNAcentral lists this unclassified non-coding RNA (217 nucleotides) under rhizosphere metagenome. RNAcentral describes it as "partial ribosomal RNA internal transcribed spacer region". The record is from RNAcentral.